UCUAGAAGACAACUGGACUAGAAUACGAAAACGUUUUGGGGAUAAACACCUGAAACAGGUUUUUGGCAAAGAUCACGUGAUGACAAGUGCAAGGAUCCAGCUUGCAAAACCCACCAAUCAGCAAGCUGGAAGUAUCAUAAUUCGGGGUAUUAAGAUCGCUAUCCGACCGCUGGCUUUUGUUAGAAAGUGCAUUGGCAGAGAUACCCUGGCAGUUGGUAACAAAUGACCCCACCUUUUGUAUAUAAUCACAUACCAAUGCCCCUAAAAGUUAAGUCCUAAUCCAGACUUCAGUGUACAGUGCUCCUCCUUUGCUUAAAUAAAACAUACUCUUAAAUAAUGAACGUGUCACAUGUACAUAUCUAAUCUCAUUGGAGAUACAACAAGAAUGCGACUACUAAAUCAAUCAUGCACCACUCAUUUCUUGAGAGAGGACCGAAACUCUACCACAAACUGCCUCUCUCCCUGUGGGUCAUCUGUCCUAGAAAAAAAUCCCUUCUCAAAUUCAAAGAAGAUCUGGAUAACUUCCUCCGAACCUUUGCAGACCAACCCUCGAUACCUGGGUAUCAUUGAUCAACAAAAUCAACUCCAUUUCUGAUCAGAUUAACCUUCGAGCAAUUAUGUAACCACGUUUUUGUGCCUUGAAUCUAUCCAAAACAUCUGUCUGUGUAUAGCAAAUGAAUUAUUAUGAUAAUAGACAGUGUCAGUGUCUUUAGUCCCGUUUUCAAUUGAAAUUUCAUAAAAAUCCAUUCAGCUAACGUGAAAGAUGUUUGUGGCUUUGACAACCAACCUGAUCAAACAAAAUAUUUUUGCAUUUGCAGGCUGGCAUCAGCUUUUGAAGACAAGAUCAAUUCUACAAGAGAUGAGCGCUUCACAUUUUGGCGAAAAAAAAUUACAAAGACUUAUGAUUGCAAAGUCAAUCACCAUUGGCAGCCGUUCUAUGACCAGUGUGGCUUUUGCAACGUUUCCUUUGACGUGAUUGGAACCUUGGACGAAUUUCAAUCUGAUAUGAUUUAUAUACAAGAACGGCUUCACCGCCCUAAUAUUUUCAAUUUAACUAUUCGAGCCAAUUCCGCCCUUCAAACAUCACAAGAGAGCACAAUUCGCGAAAAAACUUUGGAGUAUUUUAAGGAAUUGAAGAAGGAGCAAAUCCGCCUUCUUCUGCAUCAUUAUCAAAUUGACUUUGAAUUAUUUGGAUAUGAAAGCGAUGAAUAUCAAAUAGAUAUGUAGUUGUAAAAUUA
Long non-coding RNA from Tigriopus californicus, 1238 nucleotides. RefSeq lists it as uncharacterized. NCBI's taxonomy places the organism in Eukaryota, Metazoa, Arthropoda, Copepoda, Harpacticoida, Harpacticidae. The record is from RefSeq and is a predicted model, not a curated record. The transcript is spliced from 2 exons.